RNAcentral lists this ribosomal RNA (148 nucleotides) under Hirschmanniella oryzae. RNAcentral describes it as "5.8S ribosomal RNA". It matches the Rfam family "5.8S ribosomal RNA". Rfam says of the family: 5.8S ribosomal RNA (5.8S rRNA) is a component of the large subunit of the eukaryotic ribosome. It is transcribed by RNA polymerase I as part of the 45S precursor that also contains 18S and 28S rRNA. The record is from RNAcentral. Lineage: Eukaryota; Metazoa; Nematoda; Chromadorea; Rhabditida; Pratylenchidae.
CGGCGGAUCACUCGGCUCGUAGGUCUAUGAAGAACGCAGCUAACUGCGAUAAUUAGUGUGAACUGCAGAAACCAUGAACACAAAACUUUCGAAUGCACAUUGCGCCAUUGGAAUCUUGUCCUUUGGCACGCCUGGUUCAGGGUCGUAA